GCAUUGCUGAAGAGUCCCAUACUAGGACGAAACGGCCGUCCAGUGC
Non-coding RNA from Schistosoma haematobium, 46 nucleotides. Lineage: Eukaryota; Metazoa; Platyhelminthes; Trematoda; Strigeidida; Schistosomatidae. The record is from Rfam.